RNAcentral lists this ribosomal RNA (253 nucleotides) under uncultured bacterium. RNAcentral describes it as "partial 16S ribosomal RNA". It matches the Rfam family "Bacterial small subunit ribosomal RNA", at positions 524 to 776 of the family's 1533-position model. The record is from RNAcentral.
UACGAAGGGUGCAAGCGUUAAUCGGAAUUACUGGGCGUAAAGGGCGCGUAGGCGGCCCUCUAAGUCGAACGUGAAAUCCCCGGGCUCAACCCGGGAACUGCGUCCGAUACUGGAGGGCUCGAAUCCGGGAGAGGGAUGUGGGAUUCCAGGUGUAGCGGUGAAAUUCGUAGAUAUUCGGAAGAACACCAGUGGCGAAGGCGGCUCACUGGCCCGGUACUGACGCUGAGAUACGAAAGCGUGGGGAGCAAACAGG